RNAcentral lists this microRNA precursor (79 nucleotides) under Corchorus capsularis. RNAcentral describes it as "pre miRNA MIR477". The record is from RNAcentral. Lineage: Eukaryota; Viridiplantae; Streptophyta; Magnoliopsida; Malvales; Malvaceae.
UAUACUCCCUCCGUCCCAUAUUAUCUGUCCACUUCUAUUAGGGGAAAAGUGGACAGAUAAUAUGGGACGGAGGGAGUAA